UUAAUAAAAGUAUUUUAUUUUUAGUAUUAUUAAGAAAAAUUUAUUAGUAUGAUAGUGAAAUUGUAAUGUAAAUGAAUAAAUUUAUUUAAUAAAAAGAAUAUUUUAUUAAUUGUAUCUUGUGUAUCAGAGUUUAUUAAAAUUUAUUUAAUUAUUUAAAGAUCUCGAAAUUUUAAGAGUUAUAUUAAUAAAUUAUUGAUGUUUUAAAAUUUUAAUUAAAUUUAUUAUAGAAAUGAUAAGUUAAUCGUUUAAAAUUAUAUCUAGUUUUUUUAGAAUAAAUUUAAUUUUUAAUAAUUUAAAUUAUGUUUAAAUUUUUAAAUUUUUUAGGGAUAAGCUUAAAGGAUUAAUUAAAUUUAAUAAAAAAUGUUAAAAAUAUAUAGGAAUAAAAUUUUUCAUUAUUAUAGUUUUUUAUAAAUUAUUUAUAUAUAAUUAAAAAUUUUUUAAUUUUUUAAAUUAAUUAUAAAAAUAUUAGAUUAAAUAAAAUUUUUUAAGAGAUAAUGAUAAAAUUAGUAAAUAUUUUUUAAUUUAAUUAAUAACAUAAAAUAAAUUAUUUAUAUGAAUUAGGCAAAAUUAUUUUCACCUGUUUAAUAAAAACAUGGUUGUUUGUAUUUUAUAAAUGAUUAGACCUGCCCAUUGAUUUUUUAAAGGCUGCAGUAUUUUUAACUGUACAAAGGUAGCAUAAUCAUUAGUUUUUUAAUUGAAAACUUGUAUGAAUGGUUUGAUGAAAAAUAAACUUUAUUUUUAUAAUUAUUUGAAUUUUUUAUUUAAAUGAAAAAUUUUAAAUAUUUAAGAAAGACGAUAAGACCCUAUAAAAUUUUAUUAUAUUGAAAUUUUUAAUUAAUAUAUUAAUUUAGUUGGGGAAAUUAAAUUAUUGAAUUAAUUUAUGAAUUUAAUUAAUAUUAUAAAUUUAAGGAUUUUUAAGUUAUAAAAUAGAAAGAAUAAAUUGCUUUAGGGAUAACAGCGUUAUUUUUUUUUAUAGUUCGUAUAGAAAAAAAAGUUUGCGACCUCG
RNAcentral lists this ribosomal RNA (1006 nucleotides) under Xenos sp. DPM-2011. RNAcentral describes it as "partial 16S large subunit ribosomal RNA". The record is from RNAcentral. Lineage: Eukaryota; Metazoa; Arthropoda; Insecta; Strepsiptera; Xenidae.